This 476-nucleotide ribosomal RNA is filed under the name uncultured bacterium. RNAcentral describes it as "bacterial SSU rRNA". It matches the Rfam family "Bacterial small subunit ribosomal RNA", at positions 24 to 518 of the family's 1533-position model. The record is from RNAcentral.
UCAGGACGAACGCUGGCGGCGUGCUUCAUACAUGCAAGUCGAACGAUAAGGUCUCUUCGGAGACACAUAAGUGGCGGACGGGUGAGUAGCGCGUGGGUAACCUGCCUUAUACAGGGGGAUAACAGUCGGAAACGACUGCUAAUACCGCAUAAGCGCACGGAAUCGCAUGAUUCAGUGUGAAAAGAUUUAUCGGUAUAAGAUGGACCCGCGUCUGAUUAGCUAGUUGGUGAGGUAACGGCCCACCAAGGCGACGAUCAGUAGCCGGCCUGAGAGGGUGAACGGCCACAUUGGGACUGAGACACGGCCCAAACUCCUACGGGAGGCAGCAGUGGGGAAUAUUGCACAAUGGGGGAAACCCUGAUGCCAGCGACGCCGCGUGAGUGAAGAAGUAUUUCGGUAUGUAAAGCUCUAUCAGCAGGGAAGGAAAUGACGGUACCUGACUAAGAAGCCCCGGCUAACUACGUGCCAGCCGCCGC